GCGCCCUUAGCUCAGUUGGAUAGAGCGUCUGGCUACGAACCAGGAGGUCGCACGUUCGAGUCGUGCAGGGCGCGCCA
Molecule: transfer RNA, 77 nt
Filed under: Pseudomonadota bacterium
Lineage: Bacteria; Pseudomonadati; Pseudomonadota
Also listed under: 3 other names
Description: tRNA-Arg
Rfam family: tRNA
About the family: Transfer RNA (tRNA) molecules are approximately 80 nucleotides in length. Their secondary structure includes four short double-helical elements and three loops (D, anti-codon, and T loops).
Source: RNAcentral